GCAGCAGUAUGUUUAUAUGGCGGUGACCGAGGCAUGAUUACCCUGCGCGUCACAGGUUUUAAUGCAUCUAAUCAGGCUGCAUGUUUUAUUCAGAUUUCCCACUGAUGUGUUGCUCUACACUUCAUUUGCGCUGAUGAUGGCGAUAAUGACGCACAGGAUAUGCGCUCGGCUCAAAUGAGCACGCUUUCACGGCAACACUGACUCAAACUCGUUUAUAAAUGUUGAUAUGGCAGAUGAUUUCUGUGAAACAAGUUCCAAAUUUGUUCACUUCUGUGUUUUUUUGAGUGCUAGAGUUUCUAGUUCCUGAUGUGAUCAAACACAUUACUGAUGAAACCUCAAACCAUGAUGAUAUCAACCUCAGGUCACGUGUGGAGGAAAACAGUCCUAUCAGGUCUCAGGUGAUGUUUUAGAGGUCCUUCAACCAGAGCAGGACAUCUAUAACUUAUUUAACACUGUUCAUGGUUGCUGAGCAGCUUGUGUGACCGUCAGCAGAAGCAGCAGAUCCAAAGGUCAUCCAGUCACCGCAGGUGAACUCAUGUGGAUGUCUGGUGAUUUCUUUGAAGUGUUAUCCCUCCGUCUGCGGGAAUGACUUCCAUAUGUCACCUAAAAGACCACCCAGAGUCCAUUAGGUGCAGUGAACUGAAGUGAGGUGUGCAGACGAUCAAUAACUCGGACAAUCGCUCAACCUGAUGUGUGCAUGACCUCAGAAACCAGAGAGCUUGAUCCCUGUAAGAGCUGCUGAACUCCUGGCGAUAAUCUUCUGACUUGAUUUUAUGAAUCACCAAGGAGCAUGAUUUCAGCUAAAAAUCUUCUUUACUGUUCUACUGAAGAAGAAAAAAAGUCACCUACAUCUCGG
Cyprinus carpio carpio is the source of this 856-nucleotide long non-coding RNA. NCBI's taxonomy places the organism in Eukaryota, Metazoa, Chordata, Actinopteri, Cypriniformes, Cyprinidae. The record is from Ensembl.